UACGAAGGGUGCAAACGUUGCUCGGAAUUAUUGGGCGUAAAGCGCACGUAGGCGGCUUGGCAAGUCGGAUGUGAAAUCCCUCGGCUCAACCAAGGAAGUGCAUCCGAAACUGCUGAGCUUGAGUACUUAAGAGGAUCGCGGAAUUCCCGGUGUAGAGGUGAAAUUCGUAGAUAUUCGCAAGAACACCAGUGGCGAAGGCGGCUCACUGGCCCGGUACUGACGCUGAGGUGCGAAAGCGUGGGGAGCAAACAGG
Molecule: ribosomal RNA, 253 nt
Filed under: uncultured bacterium
Lineage: Bacteria
Description: partial 16S ribosomal RNA
Rfam family: Bacterial small subunit ribosomal RNA
Source: RNAcentral